Molecule: non-coding RNA, 3188 nt
Organism: Salmo salar (Atlantic salmon)
Lineage: Eukaryota; Metazoa; Chordata; Actinopteri; Salmoniformes; Salmonidae
Source: RefSeq, a predicted model, not a curated record
AUCGCGUCCUGUCAGCCUGUUUGUAGCCAUACUAGCCUCGUUUUAUCUUUAUCUCAGUAUAUUAAUAUAAUCAUAUUUCUAUAGUGUUUUUUAAUCAUUCUUGUUGAAAAUUCUGCUUAUCCGUUCAGUUAGUGAUUUUUGUAAUUCGAUUAUUGUGUCAAGGCGCUUGCAAGAGCUGCCAAAGAUAACAGUGACGGAUGUACAUCGUCUGGCCAAGACAAGUAGCAAAGCACCGACCUCCAAGUUGGAAAAAGGAUUCAAACUUUGUAUUCAGUUACCUUUUCAACUAUGAAGGUAACUUAAGUAUAGCCAAGUUGCCUAUCAGACCAGACAAGGACGUUUACUGAAAGCUGUAACGUAGUUUAAGACAUGCCUUUUACAGUAGAUAGCUAACAUUAUGAUUGCUCAUUAUUUUUAUUCCAAACCGUUUCGAACAGGGACAAAGUGACGAGAGGUCAGCGUAAGGGCUUGCUGCUACAGGUCCAUGAGGAAAAAUGAGAAACCACACAGUUUGAGUAUAGUGUGAAAAGUCAGCUGUUUGUGACACACUAUAUGCCGGUUACACAGUCAGAGAUGAAGCCUAGUCUUAGACUAAGAAGUUUCUGUCAAUGGAGAUCUGCAUUAAGAGGCAUUGCUUUGUCUAGGACUAGGCUUAACCCAUGUCUAUGAAACCGUUCUUAGUGUAGUAAUUGUUCAGUUGUCUUUGUCGUUGAAAUAUUCAGUCAAUAAUAUUUCUCAAAUAUCGGAGCCUGUGAGUUAAAAUAGACUUUAUUACAAAGUAAUAAAAGCCGAGCUGGUUCAUGAAGAAACUGCCUUCCCAGCCUUGGCACACACUUGUUAUACAGUUUUCAUCCUUACGUCACACACAUAGUAACUCCUCUUUAUGUUAAUGAUUCAUCCACUCUGGCAUGUAGCCACCAUUAUCUUUUUGCCUUGCACUAAUUUUAGCUUGACUUCACAUUAGGGCAUAGAUUCCAUUGCUGGUGUAACCAUAGCAACAGUAAAUAUUAGGCCAUAACAAUAGUACAAAAAUAAACAGACAUGCAGACUCCCAAGACAGGUGCAUGUCUAAUGGUGCCUAAUGACCUAGACACACAUAUAGAGUGCACUUAUUCUGCUUACUACUCUAAGAUGUCACACAUGGACUGGAAAGUUUCCAAUAUCUUCCUUGCUGUUGAUGUAAGCUCUGUUAUGUUGGACGCAUAAGAUCAAAUUUAAACAAGGGCAUAUACCCUUAAUAGAAAAGUUUAAACCUGUAUUGCUGUAAUUAAUUUAGUGGCUGUUGCAUGUUGCGCCAGUCACUUCUGUUUGCUGGUCGUGACUCAUGUUGAGGGAUUUUAUAGUCUAAUCAUUUUCUUUUUAUAUCCCCACAUAUGUUGUACUGAAGCCCUCUGAGCCAGUAACAAUGACACAACAUCACUGUUCAUGUGUUGCUGGCACUGCAUUAUGCAACCACACAGUUGCAUUACUAUUCCAGUCUGCACACUAUUCCCAAAUGGGAACACUAGUCGUCCCACCUGUGCACAGCUGCACAGAGGCCGAGCAGCAGUGGUAUAAGCCAAGGACUAUGGGUCUGCAACCUGGGCCCAUAGACAAAAUGACCAUCACCGAGCCCACCAAAAAUCGCAUGGCAGAAGGAGGGAUUAGGUGGUUUCAAGUACAUUGUUUAGAUUGGGAAACCACAGCGGCUGCUUUGCAGAAGUACACUCUACAGUGCCCUUCUUGGAACGCUCCCUGACCUCUCAGUUCUCCAGAUAGAAGAGGCAUACAAAAGCUUUGACCCUCUAUCCAAGCCAUUGAUCUGCAGCAUGGGGAUGUCUGCUGAAAAGCUUUUAGUCGACUCCCACUUUGGAAAGGUACAGGUGGGGAGCCUUCUGUCUUACCAGCAGCCUCCAAUCACAACGUGACACAUAGUUCACCAUAAGGAGACACCACCAUUCCCUUCACUGCCCGGAGAGCAACUUUCAAGGCUGCACAUUUAUGCUCAGUGAAGAACACCAGCUUCACAUAGUCUCUUCAGGUGAGAGAAUGCAUAGAGUCCCAGUGGUGUUCUCACUAAUUAGAGAGAAGGGUGACUGGUACUACUUAUGUGUACAUGCAAAAGUUCUUAGGCAGGAAAGACUAAAUAUAAAGGGGCAUGCUCCUUUAUCUUUCAAUUAAUGAAAGAGAAACAAACCAACAAAUCUGUCUGCAAUUAAUUAAUGAAUCAUUUAAAAUAAUUCAGUUACAUUUUUCUGUUCUCGUCACUGUAAUUAAAAACUCUUUGUAGCAUUUUGUUUGGAGUAUAAGCAGAGGUGUUUAUUAUCAAUAAAUGGACUACGGGGUGUUAGACAAUGUGGAUGGUCACAGUAAAAAAAGGAAAGAUGCAUUGCAGUAGUAGCUCAUUGCUUCUUGGCCCAUGCCUUCACAAGAGGCCCACACCGGUUGUUUUGUGAGAAGGCAAGCUACAGCCCAGAUGCAUUUGAUGCUUCCCAUCAGUGACAUAAGGAUCUCUUGGACAUGGUAAUAUUCCACUGGAAUAGCAAAGGUACUGCUCCCUUCUUCAGAUGUCAACAACCACUAGAAGGUUCAAUGAAAACUUCUUAAUUUCCUAACUUUCAAUAAAGAUGCCGCACCAACUAAUAACGUUAACGUCAUUAGCACUAACGUUAGCUAGGUACUGGUAGCUAACGUUUACUGGCUAAAGAGACAAAAAAAGACAGAACACAAUCGAAUUACAAAAAUCACCAACUGAACGGAUAUACAGAAUUUUCAACAAGAAUUAUUAAAAAAAAACGCUAUAGAAAUAUGAUUGUAUUAAUAUACUGAGGUAAUGAUAAAACGAGCGACUUCGAGGCUAGUAUGGCUACAAUCAGGUUGACAGGACAAGAUCGGAUAGGAAGUUGAGCAGAAGUGGAGCGUUGCUACGUUGUUCAAAGAAUGAUUGCCAUUUCUUCAAACAAACUCUCUCCCACUUGAUUAGAAUUUUCCACCACAAGGUUCACCUUCCAACAGGACAUCAACCCUAAGCACACAGGCAAGACAACGAAGGAGAGGAUUCAUGACAAGUUUCUGAAUGUCCUGAGUUGCCCAGCCAGAGUCUGGACUUGAACCCAUUUGAACAUCUCUGGAGAGAACUGAAAAUAGCUGUGCAGCAACGCUCCCCAUCCAGCCUGACAGAGCUUGAGAGGAUCUGCAGAGAAGAAUGG